RNAcentral lists this long non-coding RNA (249 nucleotides) under Hordeum vulgare. RNAcentral describes it as "long non-coding RNA (HVUL_LNC008915)". Lineage: Eukaryota; Viridiplantae; Streptophyta; Magnoliopsida; Poales; Poaceae. The record is from RNAcentral.
GAAUCCCCAGCAGACACCACCGUCUACUGCGAGCCAAGGCGGACGCGGCCACCUGCAGCAGCAAAAGUCGUCAUCUGCGAGCCAUGGCGGACGCGGCCACCACCAGCAGCAGAAGCAGAAGCAAUUGUCUGGGACUGGGCGCCAUGGCCAACCCCUGGUGGAGGUGUUUUCCGUGCGUGCCAACUUCCCUGUAGUCGGCACCAUCGCCGUCUUUGACGGGAAACGCGGGCAGAUCAUCUACGAUUCCGA